CGUUUAUUUGUAUGUUCGGGAUAAACUUCGAAACUGCUUGUUCAAUCAUUGAAACUGUUCAUGAAAUUGUUCGGUUUUUAUAUAUUGGGUGCUAAUAUUGUUGUCAUAUAUUAUACUGGCGUGUCUGUUUAGUUGGCAAAAACCACUCGAAGAGACGAGUUCUUUCGUGUUUAAUGUUAGUAAGUAAUAUUUAAUAAGUUACAUAAGUUUUCUAGAAAAUUAUUAUUAUAUCAUUGGUACAGAUCAUAGUGCGUGAUUUGAUUCACGAGCCGGUAAAGUUCAAUACGGUGUUUAGUAUAUUUUUUUCUUCGCCUGUAGUACUUAUUGUGUACAGGGUACGUAGUCAUGUCAAAGGCAAAAUCUUCAUUAUCAAGAAGAACUUCAGAUGCUAGAAGAGUUCAAGAUGCGAGGCUGCGAGAGACUGCUGAACAACGAUAGUAUCGAUUAUCGAAAACGGCUCGGCGUAAUUCAACCGUUCGUGCGCUAGGGAAUUCUGUUCAAACUGAACUUCGAUUGUUACAAAUAGGAGACAGGAUAAUCCGUGAGUCAUCGGUUCAACGAUCAACGCGUCUGGAACAACAGCGUAAUAAUGUGAUCGAAGCUACAAUUCUUACGGGUCCAGCCGCCGGGGAGUGUGCUUUUAUUCCAAGAAUUCCUUUAAUUCCUUCAGACAUGACGAUUGAAUGAUUGUUCAAAAGCGUGCGAUUUCCAGUUAGAGUCUCUUUCGCAGUCACCAUCAAUAAGUCGCGAGGGCAGACAUUUGCAUGUGUGGGAGUUGAUCUGCGCGAAGAUUGUUUUUCGCGUGGUCAGCCAUACGUAGCUCUCUCCAGAACCGGAAAUCCCGUGAAUCAAUUCAUUUUACUGCCGACGACGGAUAAAACAAAAAAUAUUGUGUAUACAGACAUUUUGUAAAUUUUAUUUUUUUUAAUAAGGUGAACUUUUUUUUUUUUUGCUUAGG
Molecule: non-coding RNA, 958 nt
Organism: Cinara cedri
Lineage: Eukaryota; Metazoa; Arthropoda; Insecta; Hemiptera; Aphididae
Source: the annotation of a GenBank genome assembly